CAGUAGCCGCGGUAAUACGUAGGGUGCAAGCGUUAAUCGGAAUUACUGGCGUAAAGCGUGCGCAGGCGGUUAUAUAAGUCAGAUGUGAAAUCCCCGGGCUCAACCUGGGAACUGCAUUUGAGACUGUAUGGCUAGAGUGUGUCAGAGGGGGGUAGAAUUCCACGUGUAGCAGUGAAAUGCGUAGAUAUGUGGAGGAAUACCGAUGGCGAAGGCAGCCCCCUGGGAUAACACUGACGCUCAUGCACGAAAGCGUGGGGAGCAAACAGGAUUAGAUACCCCAGUAGUCCCUGUCUCUUAUACC
Molecule: ribosomal RNA, 301 nt
Filed under: uncultured bacterium
Lineage: Bacteria
Description: partial 16S ribosomal RNA
Rfam family: Bacterial small subunit ribosomal RNA
Source: RNAcentral